UGGGGAAUCUUGGACAAUGGGGGCAACCCUGAUCCAGCGAUGCCGCGUGAGCGAAGAAGGCCUUAGGGUUGUAAAGCUCUUUCGCCCGCGACGAUGAUGACGGUAGCGGGAGAAGAAGCCCCGGCUAACUCCGUGCCAGCAGCCGCGGUAAUACGGAGGGGGCUAGCGUUGUCCGGAAUUACUGGGCGUAAGGCGCGCGUAGGCGGUCCACCAAGUCGGGGGUGAAAGCCCGGGGCUCAACCCCGGAAUGUCCUCCGAGACUGUUGGACUGGAGUUCGGGAGAGGAGAGCGGAAUUCCCAGUGUAGAGGUGAAAUUCGUAGAUAUUGGGAAGAACACCGGUGACGAAGGCGGCUCUCUGGCCCGCAACUGACGCUGAGGCGCGAAAGCGUGGGGAGCAAACA
This 402-nucleotide ribosomal RNA is filed under the name uncultured bacterium. Its description in RNAcentral is "bacterial SSU rRNA". It matches the Rfam family "Bacterial small subunit ribosomal RNA", at positions 355 to 774 of the family's 1533-position model. The record is from RNAcentral.